AUAAAGUGGCUGAAAAAAGCGGUAAACUGUAAAUUUAUUUAUGAAUUUAAUUCCUUUAUCAA
Molecule: transfer RNA, 62 nt
Filed under: Discolomatidae sp. 3 ACP-2013
Lineage: Eukaryota; Metazoa; Arthropoda; Insecta; Coleoptera; Discolomatidae
Description: tRNA-Tyr
Source: RNAcentral